This 712-nucleotide non-coding RNA is filed under the name Pan troglodytes (chimpanzee). Lineage: Eukaryota; Metazoa; Chordata; Mammalia; Primates; Hominidae. The record is from RNAcentral.
AGUCACAAGAGGCCCUGAGCUCUGUGGGCCCCAGGUGCCCCAGGAAAACUUGGGGGAGAAUGGGCAUCCCACCCCAGCACUUUCUAGGAAGGAGGGCAGCAUUUUGAAGGGCUGGAAGUAGAGGAAGGAGGUUGCGGGUAGAAGACUCCAUACUUUCUGUGAUGCCUAUUCCUUAGGUAGGAACUUAGGAACCUCAGGAGAGCCUUUAUAUAACCAAAGAUAUUUUUGGACCAUGAAUUCGGAAAUUCUCGGAGCCACCCAUCAGUGCCUGAGCUUCAGUGAGUCCAUAUCCCAUGUCACCCACGGCAAAGGAGAAUCUAAGACUUCUGAAGAGUUUCUUGCUUCUUUCCUGUGGGGCAGUGACUCCACUUCCCAGCAGUAAUGGAAUAUCCUGAAUUAGCUACAUUAAUGUUAGAACCAUUUGGACCUCACCCAGGACUUCAACUACAUUAUGCUAAAGUUACAGAACCCAAAUUUGGCAACUGUCUGCAUCUGAACAACAGAAGUUUCAACAUUCUGCCAACAGAGUAACUCCUGGACGAUUGGCACAGAAGGCACAAGGCAAAUACCUAUCUCUGUACACCCUGUGCUACUGUGUCAUGUGCUGCUCCAGGCAACUCCAAUGGAUUGGCCACCCUGGCCAAUGUGUUCUAGUAUGUUAGGUUUAUGUUCCCCUGCUUUCUACAAUCCUGUUCAAAGAGUUGCUGACUUA